AGAUGUUGGGUUAAGUCCCGCAACGAGCGCAACCCUUGUCUUUAGUUGCCAUCAUUAAGUUGGGCACUCUAGAGAGACUGCCAGGGAUAACCUGGAGGAAGGUGGGGAUGACGUCAAAUCAUCAUGCCCCUUAUGCUUAGGGCUACACACGUGCUACAAUGGGUAGUACAGAGGGUUGCCAAGCCGUAAGGUGGAGCUAAUCCCUUAAAGCUA
RNAcentral lists this ribosomal RNA (213 nucleotides) under Clostridioides difficile. Its description in RNAcentral is "partial 16S ribosomal RNA". It matches the Rfam family "Bacterial small subunit ribosomal RNA", at positions 1070 to 1284 of the family's 1533-position model. Lineage: Bacteria; Bacillati; Bacillota; Clostridia; Peptostreptococcales; Peptostreptococcaceae. The record is from RNAcentral.